GAUGAAGAACGUAGCGAAAUGCGAUAACUAGUGUGAAUUGCAGAAUUCCGUGAAUCAUCGAGUCUUUGAACGCACAUUGCGCCCCCUGGUAUUCCGGGGGGCAUGCCUGUCCGAGCGUCAUUGCUGCCCAUCAAGCACGGCCUGUGUGUUGGGUCGUCGUCCCCUCUCCGGGGGGGACGGGCCCCAAAGGCAGCGGCGGCACCGCGUCCGAUCCUCGAGCGUAUGGGGCUUUGUCACCCGCUCUGUAGGCCCGGCCGGCGCUUGCCGAACGCAAAUCAAUCUUUUCCAGGUUGACCUCGGAUCAGGUAGGGAUACCCGCUGAACUUAAGCAUAUCAAUAAGCGGAGGA
Molecule: unclassified non-coding RNA, 348 nt
Filed under: soil metagenome
Description: partial contains 5.8S ribosomal RNA, internal transcribed spacer 2, and large subunit ribosomal RNA
Rfam family: 5.8S ribosomal RNA (bases 1-120)
Source: RNAcentral